This 528-nucleotide long non-coding RNA is filed under the name Vigna radiata. Its description in RNAcentral is "long non-coding RNA (VRAD_LNC014375)". The record is from RNAcentral. Lineage: Eukaryota; Viridiplantae; Streptophyta; Magnoliopsida; Fabales; Fabaceae.
UGUUCUGCUGUUUCUUAAUUUGAAGCUUUUAAUUGGUUUUUUUCAUCUAUUCUAGAGAUUGUCUUGAGUUUGUCUGAUCUGCUGUGUUGACCAUUUCCAUUGCUUUAUUUUGUCCUGUUCUGUUUACCUGUUAUUGCUUUUGCUUAGCCUAUCCAUCUCUGGUUUGAGAAGCUUUCACUUUUGGUGUUUAUUUGGAAAUUUGAGAAAGNUUGUGUGCUUGGUAGCAUCUUAGGUGGUNGUGGUCUAAAAGACUAUCUAGCUUUUACUGCCAAGGGAGAAUCUCCCUUCCAAACCUUUCAUCUGUGUGUUUAAUUUUUUUAAGAGAAGCCUUGAGUGUUGUGAGUCUUGUAAGGCUGACUUUAGCCUGUUGUCCUUGGCAAUUUGUUAGAGAAUCAGUUUUCUUUUAACUGUGUUGCUCACUAUUUUGGAUUGAUCAUUGUGCAGGAAAUUGAAGGAACAAGCAACUGUGAUUGUUGAAACUGCCACAUGCAGAUUUCAGUUGUUUCUAGAUUGAUUGAUUGAGCUNNN